RNAcentral lists this unclassified non-coding RNA (1014 nucleotides) under Hevea brasiliensis (rubber tree). Lineage: Eukaryota; Viridiplantae; Streptophyta; Magnoliopsida; Malpighiales; Euphorbiaceae. The record is from RNAcentral.
GCACCGCCCCUUUCUCGUCUCUAGAAGCUGCAUAAUUGCCAGUCAGAAAUUGUAAUACAAAAUCUUCCAGUAGCAGAUGCAUCCAAUACCUUCAAUGGGUCAUUGUAUCUUGGGAAACGUGUGAUGUUUGAACACGAAUUGCACCGAUAAAGUUCAACUCGAGAAGCACCAUAAAGUUUUUCAGAAGAAUUUGCAUCCCCCAUGCCUUGAGUUCUGGUAUCAUUACCACAGGUAUCACAAGGAGGAGCAUUCACCCACCGAAAUGACUGCUUAAACCAGAAUAGCAGCUGUAAUAGGAAAGCAUUAUCUUGUUCAACUUUUGUUGGUUUGUAGUUUCCCUCCCUUCCCAAAGAAAUCAAUGCUUUCUCCUCAAGCUUGUCCACAGGAACCGUCUUUCGAGCCAUCUCUUGCCGAUGUGGAUCUUCAUACAUUUGAACUUGAUUUACGUAUGGCCAUAUCCGCUGUUCAACUUCCUUCUUACUAUCUCUAGAAACAAAAUGCUGCAUCAUAAGAGCUUCUUCUUCUGCCUGAAUAAGGCGAGCCAACUCUUCAUCUGACAUAGCCAAAUUUUCUAACUUCUCUUUCUCCUCGGCUACUAUUUCCUCCUCGACUCCAUCAAUUGAUACCAACCGAAGCUUAUCCGAUAUUAAAGUGAGAUCAGACUCGUCGGAUACAAUUUGAUCAUCUCUCCCCAGUAUCUUUUGUUGAUCGGGAGGAACGGAAGUGAGAGAGAAGAGCUGGUACUUGAGGACCUGGAAAAACGAAUAGAUAAGAGAAAAAGGUUUGUAAAUGAAACGGAAGAUGGAAUUGAAGAAGAUGAAGUGAGAAGAAGAAGAAGAGGACUUCGAAGCCAUCAUCAGUAUCGUAAUCGACGUCGAAUAUGGAGUCGUUGUGACUAACGGCGAGUCUCCGAGCAACCAUUAUUUUGCUACUGCUUCAAUUUGCUUCGUUUCUAGGUUUUGGAAUUCGAUUCCUUUCUUAAUAUAUGGACGUUUCGACCAUUUUUAUCUUCAU